Molecule: non-coding RNA, 26 nt
Filed under: Homo sapiens (human)
Lineage: Eukaryota; Metazoa; Chordata; Mammalia; Primates; Hominidae
Source: RNAcentral
UAGUGCAUUCUCCUCGAGUGUGGGGU